Long non-coding RNA from Raphanus sativus (radish), 448 nucleotides. RefSeq lists it as uncharacterized. The record is from RefSeq and is a predicted model, not a curated record. Lineage: Eukaryota; Viridiplantae; Streptophyta; Magnoliopsida; Brassicales; Brassicaceae. The transcript has 2 exons.
AAUGUUUUUAAUUAUUGACUGGCCUUGUUCUUAUGUUUUGUCAAACUCUAUUGGGCUUUAAAAACAAAAGAAUUAUCAUUACUAAUUGGCCAAGCCCAUUCCAAUAACUCAACCGACAAAAUAGAAAAGAUUCUCUUUCUUUUCUCUCUGGACAGAUCGAAAAAAAAAAUCAUCUGAUGCCGAUUCAUGUGGCCAUGAGAUCCAACGAAAAUGAAGUAGCCGCCGAGUGAUUUUCCUCUGAUCUAACCCGGUUUUGCCUGCAUGUGAUUUCUGAUGACUUCUAUCAACAUAUAUUCCAGCGUUAAAUGGUUUUUGAUCUGUUCAAAAAUUAUUGAAAUACAAUUCGAGAAAAAUAUAAGUAUUCUGUUAAGACAACGUUUUUUGUUGUAUCACAAUCUUCCUGUCUUAACAGAUAUCAUAUAAUAAAUUACUGUUUUAUAAAAAAUCA